GGAAGUAAAAGUCGUAACAAGGUUUCCGUAGGUGAACCUG
RNAcentral lists this ribosomal RNA (40 nucleotides) under Schizophyllum commune. Its description in RNAcentral is "partial 18S ribosomal RNA". The record is from RNAcentral. Lineage: Eukaryota; Fungi; Basidiomycota; Agaricomycetes; Agaricales; Schizophyllaceae.